Molecule: long non-coding RNA, 1714 nt
Organism: Liolophura sinensis
Lineage: Eukaryota; Metazoa; Mollusca; Polyplacophora; Chitonida; Chitonidae
Exons: 4
Source: RefSeq, a predicted model, not a curated record
UUACAUAGAUAAGUGUCGCCGUCAUAUCGCAAAAUGUCCAUUUGUAUAUCUGUUGUAUGAGUUAUUUAUUGUGUGUAUCAGUAUGUGCCCCCGGGACGUAUGGACCAGACUGUGAGAAGAAAUGUGGGAACUGUACUGAGGGACCAUCUGUCUGUAGUUUAACAACUGGGCACUGUCCCCUGAGGACACCCAAGUGCAUGGAGGGAUACUCUGGUCUGAAAUGUGACACAGUAUGUGUCCCCGGUAGGUAUGGACCAGACUGUGAGAAGAAAUGUGGGAACUGUACUGAGGGACCGUAUGUCUGCAAUUCAACAACCGGGUACUGCCCCCUAAGGACACCCAACUGCAUGGCGGGAUACUCUGGUCUGAAAUGUGACACAGGUAAGUGUUAUACAGGGAAUAACGUUGACAGGAAAUUAUAAGCAAUCAAAAGUACAGGUGAAACGCCGUUGGUUCCUAGCGAAUUAAAACUGUUCACAUACAUUUUCUUGUAAAGGUGUGUACCUGUACAUGUACAAACAAAUGUUUAGAGACUCUUCUAGAAAGUACAUUUCCCCCCUCUUCAAGAACCUUCCUGGAAUUUGGAUGUGGCUUUUUGGUCAAGUGUUAUAACUGUACGUUUGGGAAAUCCAGCGACAAUUAGAAAUUGACUACAAGACAAUGCACGCACAUUAGAAAUUUAUUUUCAUAUUUGCUGGUCGUAUAAUAGAAGGAAGCACUCUCUAAAACAUUGCAGUACUCUCUAAAUAUAUUGCACAAUGAAAAGUGUAUCAGUUGUACAUACUAUGUACACAUUUAACAUUGGACAAGUUGCAUAUUGCUGGUACACAAAGUAUGGGCCCCUCGUACACAGUACAUUUUUUUAGGAAAGUAUUCCUUUGAUAUCUAAACAUGUUUUUCUUUAAUCGUGUAAAAGUGUGUAAGAAGUUAAUAAUCAAAUAUACAGUUGCAGAAAAACUCCUAGGCUGCUUUACAACAUAUUCUAAAUAAAACUGUUAUGCAUGCACGAGAUGGAUAAGCUGGAGUCUUUAAGAAAACAGAAUCAUUUAUGUACUAGAUACGUUAUUCAAUUAUAAAAUGCAUUGUCUUCCAGUUGGUGAGGGAAAAAUGAUGAGACAAACUUUGCUGUGAUCAUUUUCCUGAGAGUCGUUUUCUGUUUAUUGCGUUUGGUAGUUUCUACGUUCCCCAGUGUCGAGGUCGUAUCGAAAAUGGCCUAUGUGUAGGCCUAUUUUAUCAGUUGUUGAUGUAUGUAUCAGUAUGUACCCCCGGGACGUAUGGACCAGACUGUGAGAAGAGAUGUGAGAACUGUGCGGAGGGACCGACUGUAUGUAGCACAAUAUCCGGGCACUGUCCACAGAGAACACCCAGGUGCAAACCGGAAUAUGUUGGUGAGAAAUGUGACACAGUUUCAGACCUAUCAGGUAACUCUAAGGAUUACACGGGAGUGAUUGCCGGAAGUGCUGUCGGAAUAUCUCUUGUUGUCAUGAUCACCGGAGUUAUUAUUAUUGUUAUGAUACGGAGGAAACCGCCACGUGCACAGACAGGUGGUGCUAAAGGCUCUGGAACGAACAGUACUCCAGCAGACGAGAGCUCCGUUCCCGCAGAAGUUAUUAAUUGCAGUGAAAUGUCUGAGCCGUCAAGAUUGUAUGAUACAUGUGAGGAACAUUCUGGUGAAGAUCCCCCCUAUGAAGCCAUUCGUGAAUUCGUCAAUCUA